Molecule: ribosomal RNA, 497 nt
Filed under: uncultured bacterium
Lineage: Bacteria
Description: partial 16S ribosomal RNA
Rfam family: Bacterial small subunit ribosomal RNA
Source: RNAcentral
GAUGAACGCUGGCGGCGUGCCUAAUACAUGCAAGUCGAGCGAACGGACGAGAAGCUUGCUUCUCUGAUGUUAGCGGCGGACGGGUGAGUAACACGUGGAUAACCUACCUAUAAGACUGGGAUAACUUCGGGAAACCGGAGCUAAUACCGGAUGAUAUUUUGAACCGCAUGGUUCAAAAGUGAAAGACGGUCUUGCUGUCACUUAUAGAUGGAUCCGCGCUGCAUUAGCUAGUUGGUAAGGUAACGGCUUACCAAGGCAACGAUGCAUAGCCGACCUGAGAGGGUGAUCGGCCACACUGGAACUGGGACACGGUCCAGACUCCUACGGGAGGCAGCAGUAGGGAAUCUUCCGCAAGGGGCGAAAGCCUGACGGAGCAACGCCGCGUGAGUGAUGAAGGUCUUCGGAUCGUAAAACUCUGUUAUUAGGGAAGAACAUAUGUGUAAGGAACUGUGCACAUCGUGACGGUACCUAAUCAGAAAGCCACGGCUAACUACGUG